RNAcentral lists this ribosomal RNA (957 nucleotides) under uncultured bacterium. RNAcentral describes it as "bacterial SSU rRNA". It matches the Rfam family "Bacterial small subunit ribosomal RNA", at positions 494 to 1451 of the family's 1533-position model. The record is from RNAcentral.
CGGCUAANUACGUGCCAGCAGCCGCGGUAAUACGUAGGUGNCAAGCGUUGUCCGGAUUUAUUGGGCGUAAAGCGAGCGCAGGCGGUUCCUUAAGUNUGAUGUGAAAGCCCCCGGCUCAACCGGGGAGGGUCAUUGGAAACUGGGGAACUUGAGUGCAGAAGAGGAGAGUGGAAUUCCAUGUGUAGCGGUGAAAUGCGUAGAUAUAUGGAGGAACACCAGUGGCGAAGGCGACUCUCUGGUCUGUAACUGACGCUGAGGCUCGAAAGCGUGGGUAGCAAACAGGGUUAGAUACCCUGGUAGUCCACGCCGUAAACGAUGAGUGCUAAGUGUUGGAGGGUUUCCGCCCUUCAGUGCUGCAGUUAACGCAUUAAGCACUCCGCCUGGGGAGUACGACCGCAAGGUUGAAACUCAAAGGGAUUGACGGGGACCCGCACAAGCGGUGGAGCAUGUGGUUUAAUUCGAAGCAACGCGAAGAAUCUUACCAAGUCUUGACAUCCUUUGACCACUCUAGAGAUAGAGCUUUCCCUUCGGGGACAAAGUGACAGGUGGUGCAUGGUUGUCGUCAGCUCGUGUCGUGAGAUGUUGGGUUAAGUCCCGCAACGAGCGCAACCCUUAUUACUAGUUGCCAGCAUUCGGUUGGGCACUCUAGUGAGACUGCCGGUGACAAACCGGAGGAAGGUGGGGAUGACGUCAAAUCAUCAUGCCCCUUAUGACUUGGGCUACACACGUGCUACAAUGGAUGGUACAACGAGCAGCGAACUCGCGAGGGUAAGCGAAUCUCUUAAAGCCAUUCUCAGUUCGGAUUGUAGGCUGCAACUCGCCUACAUGAAGCCGGAAUCGCUAGUAAUCGCGGAUCAGCACGCCGCGGUGAAUACGUUCCCGGGUCUUGUACACACCGCCCGUCACACCACGAGAGUUUGUAACACCCAAAGUCGGUGAGGUAACCAUUUGGAGCCA